UACGUAGGGGGCAAGCGUUGUCCGGAUUUAUUGGGCGUAAAGAGCGUGUAGGCGGUCAGGUAGGUCCGUUGUGAAAACUCGAGGCUCAACCUCGAGACGCCGAUGGAAACCAUCUGACUAGAGUCCGGAAGAGGAGAGUGGAAUUCCUGGUGUAGCGGUGAAAUGCGUAGAUAUUGGGAGGAACACCAGUGGCGCAAGCGGCUAUCUGGACUGACAUUGACGCUGAGGCACGAAAGCGUGGGGAUCAAACAGG
Molecule: ribosomal RNA, 253 nt
Filed under: uncultured bacterium
Lineage: Bacteria
Description: partial 16S ribosomal RNA
Rfam family: Bacterial small subunit ribosomal RNA
Source: RNAcentral